This 1196-nucleotide long non-coding RNA is filed under the name Olea europaea subsp. europaea. The record is from RNAcentral. Lineage: Eukaryota; Viridiplantae; Streptophyta; Magnoliopsida; Lamiales; Oleaceae.
CGUCUAUCAAUUUUAGAUCCAACUCAAUCCGCAUCUACAAAACACUCAAUGAAAGUGUGUCCUUGAUUGCUAUGCAUUAUGCCAAGACCCGGAGCUCUUUUCAAGUAACACAGUAUCUGUUCUAAGGUUGCGCAAUGUUUCACUGUAGGUGCAGACAUAAAUUGGCUGACAACGCUAACCGCAUGAGCAAUAUCUGGACGAGCCACUGUAAGAUAGUUUAAUUUCCCAACUAAUCUCUUGUACUUUUCUGGAUCAUCAAAGAAGUCACCAUCAUCUUUUAUAAAAUGUAUAUUGGGAAUCAUUGGUGUGCUGCAUGGCUUGGCUCCCAUCUUUUCAAAUUCUGCCAAAAAAUCAAGUAUAUACUUUCUUUGAGACAAUAAGAUUCCCUUUUUGCUUCUUGUUACUUCCACCUCUAGAAAGUAUUUUAGCUGGCCCAAGUCUUUUGUGUGAAACUUAGUAUGUAGAAAUAGCUUGAGUGAAGAGAUUCUUGCACAAUCAUCUCCUGUAAUGACAAUGUCAUCAACAUAAAUAACAGGAAGAAUAACACGAGCUGUUGACUGUCUGUAGAAAACUAAGUGAUCACAUAUGCUCUUCUUCCGUCCAAACUCCUGAACUACCUCAAUAAACUUGCCAAACCAAGCACGGCGACUCUGUUUUAGACCAUACACAUUUAUUCAAAUGACAAAACUUUUUCAUACUCCCCCUAAACAACAAACUCAGGUGGUUGCUCCAUAUAUACCUCUUUCUGGAGAUCACCAUGAAGGAACGCAUUCUUGAUGUUCAACUGGUGUAAGGGCCAAUCUUGAGAAGCAGCGAUGGAUAUAAAUAGGCGAACAGAGGUGUGUUUGGCUACAAGGGAGAAGGUAUCUGAAUAAUCCACUCCAUAAGUUUGAUCAUAUUCUUUUGCAACAAGUCUGACUUUAAGUCUUACCACAGAACCAUCCGGAUUCACUUUAACAGCGAAGACCCAUUUGCAUCCCACAACUUCUUGUCUUUAGGCAAAUCUACCAAUUUCCAAUGUAUGAUUUUCAUCUAAAGCAUGUAUCUCCUCGAGCAUUGCAUUUUUCCAUCCAGGAUGACCCAAUGCUUCUUUUACUCGGCACAUUUACUGAGUCUAAAGAAAUAAUUAAAGAACUAGAUGCGGGAGACGGAUGAUCAUAUGAAAUAAAGUUAGCUAUAGGAUAAAUAGAUUUAGG